RNAcentral lists this transfer RNA (64 nucleotides) under Myrmeleon immanis. RNAcentral describes it as "tRNA-Arg". Lineage: Eukaryota; Metazoa; Arthropoda; Insecta; Neuroptera; Myrmeleontidae. The record is from RNAcentral.
AAGUUUGAAGCGAUUACGCAAUUAGUUUCGACCUAAUUUUUGGUGUUAAUUUCACCCAAACUUU